UCAUAUCGACGGCGGUGUUUGGCACCUCGAUGUCGGCUCAUCACAUCCUGGGGCUGAAGUAGGUCCCAAGGGUAUGGCUGUUCGCCAUUUAAAGUGGUACGCGAGCUGGGUUUAGAACGUCGUGAGACAGUUCGGUCCCUAUCUGCCGUGGGCGUUGGAAGAUUGAGAGGGGCUGCUCCUAGUACGAGAGGACCGGAGUGGACGCACCGCUGGUGUUCGGGUUGUGAUGCCAAUUGCAUUGCCCGGUAGCUACGUGCGGAAAAGAUAAGCGCUGAAAGCAUCUAAGCGCGAAACUUGCCUCGAGAUGAGUCUUCCCUUGGGCCUUGAGCCCACUGAAGGAACGUUUAAGACUAAGACGUUGAUAGGCUGGGUGUGUAAGCGUAGCGAUACGUUGAGCUAACCAGUACUAAUGAUCCGUGAGACUUAACCUUACAACACCGAAGGUGUUU
RNAcentral lists this ribosomal RNA (449 nucleotides) under Edwardsiella anguillarum. RNAcentral describes it as "bacterial LSU rRNA". It matches the Rfam family "Bacterial large subunit ribosomal RNA", at positions 2500 to 2925 of the family's 2925-position model. The record is from RNAcentral. Lineage: Bacteria; Pseudomonadati; Pseudomonadota; Gammaproteobacteria; Enterobacterales; Hafniaceae.